RNAcentral lists this long non-coding RNA (1017 nucleotides) under Macaca mulatta (Rhesus monkey). RNAcentral's name for it is "lncRNA (ENSMMUG00000053437.1)". Lineage: Eukaryota; Metazoa; Chordata; Mammalia; Primates; Cercopithecidae. The record is from RNAcentral.
UAAAUUCCCAAGAAUUCAAACUUAGAUUUUUAGAGUCCAGCUUACUAUUUAUAAAUGAGGAAAGUAAGACAAAAAGUAAUUCAGUUUUUUUUUUUUUUUUUUUUUCCUAAGGACAUGGAACUUGAGCAGCAGAAACAGGACCGAAACCUGGCUCUUCCCUUAUGCCACAGUCUUUCUAUGAAGAAAAUUUAAAAUACAGAGGAAAAGACUUUUACAUACAGUAAGGACAGCAUAUUCAGCAGUAGGUGUGACUUUCCCAGUGGGAAAAAUAUUUGCAACUUUCAACACAUUAUAUUUCACAUUAUUGGUGGUACUUUGUAAGCAACUGAUCUAAUCUGAUAACAGAGUAAGUGGUUGGAACUGAAUGUAAAUCUGGAUGCAUUUAUAUGGAGGAAGUAAUUAGAACUAUAUGAGCAAGGAGUUCAUUAGUGCAAAUAUAAAAUUUUAAAAAGUGAGUUAAUUAGUGUUAAAUUAUAUAAUAAUUCCUGGCUUAGAUAAAUUCCAUUGUAGUUUAUACCACUUUAAUGUUUACUGUUAUACUAUUAAUAGGGUGAUAAAGUACAUUAUUCUCAUUUAGAGCAAACUUCAUAGUGAAAAGUAAAUAGACUUUUAAGUCAAACACACCUAGAUUUAAGUUAGUUCUAUUUUUUGCUAGAUGUGUGAACGCAUAUAAGUUAACUUCAUUCUUCUCAGUCUCCAUUUCUUAUGUAAUACUAAUACCUGUAUUGAAGUUGCUCUUGCACCAUUUAGAUUAAAGUCAAUUAAAUGAUACAACACGUGUACAAUGCCCAGGAUAGUACCUCAUACUUAGUGACAUUAAAUAAAUAGUAGGUACCAUAUUAAAAGAUAACUAAUGAUUUAAAUAUGGGUGGGACACCUCUGUGUAUAUUUGCCAAGACUUUUUGUUUCUCUAAUCCCUUACUUUUGAGUAAUUUUCAGACUACUGAGUGCUAAGAUUCAGACUUGAUAUUUUUAUAGCAUAUUAACUAGGUAUAUUUUCUCUUGGAGGAAUUUACU